Molecule: ribosomal RNA, 450 nt
Filed under: uncultured bacterium
Lineage: Bacteria
Description: partial 16S ribosomal RNA
Rfam family: Bacterial small subunit ribosomal RNA
Source: RNAcentral
GUGGGGAAUUUUGGACAAUGGGCGCAAGCCUGGUCCAGCCAUGCCGCGUGCAGGAUGAAGGCCUUCGGGUUGUAAACUGCUUUUGUACGGAACGAAAAGACUCUGGUUAAUACCUGGGGUCCAUGACGGUACCGUAAGAAUAAGCACCGGCUAACUACGUGCCAGCAGCCGCGGUAAUACGUAGGGUGCGAGCGUUAAUCGGAAUUACUGGGCGUAAAGCGUGCGCAGGCGGUUAUGUAAGACAGAUGUGAAAUCCCCGGGCUCAACCUGGGAACUGCAUUUGUGACUGCAUAGCUAGAGUACGGCAGAGGGGGAUGGAAUUCCGCGUGUAGCAGUGAAAUGCGUAGAUAUGCGGAGGAACACCGAUGGCGAAGGCAAUCCCCUGGGCCUGUACUGACGCUCAUGCACGAAAGCGUGGGGAGCAAACAGGAUUAGAAACCCCUGUAGUCC